RNAcentral lists this microRNA (22 nucleotides) under Gallus gallus (chicken). Its description in RNAcentral is "gga-miR-12290-5p". Lineage: Eukaryota; Metazoa; Chordata; Aves; Galliformes; Phasianidae. The record is from miRBase by way of RNAcentral.
UGGGGGUGCCGUUGGGGUCAGU